GGGGAUGUGGCUCAGUAGUAGAGCUCUUUACUCCAUAAGCACAAGGCCCUGGGUUCAAUCCCCAGCACCAUCA
This 73-nucleotide transfer RNA is filed under the name Cavia porcellus (domestic guinea pig). It matches the Rfam family "tRNA". From Rfam's summary of the family: Transfer RNA (tRNA) molecules are approximately 80 nucleotides in length. Their secondary structure includes four short double-helical elements and three loops (D, anti-codon, and T loops). The record is from Rfam by way of RNAcentral. Lineage: Eukaryota; Metazoa; Chordata; Mammalia; Rodentia; Caviidae.